UGGCUCUCGCAUCGAUGAAGAACGCAGCAAAGCGCGAAAUGUAAUGUGAAUUGCAGAAUUCAGUGAAUCAUCGAAUCUUUGAACGCAUCUUGCGCUCUUGGGCUACUCCUAGGAGCAUGCUUGUUUGAGUGUCGCGUACCUCUCAACCCCACCCUCUUCUUAAUCGAAAAGGGUCGUUAGGGUUGGAUCAUGGCGCUUUCUUUUUGCCUUGGUGAAACAAGGCUGCGCUGAAUUGCAACGAGCCGGAUUAAAUCCGACGGCUUGACCUGUUGUUAUAAAUUAAAAAUUCAAUAGGGACGUCGGUUUGAAUGGGCUCACCAUAAAUUGAUUUUUGACACUUGGACCUCAAAUCAAGUAGGACUACCCGCUGA
This 371-nucleotide unclassified non-coding RNA is filed under the name uncultured fungus. Its description in RNAcentral is "partial contains 5.8S ribosomal RNA and internal transcribed spacer 2". The stretch from base 1 to 134 matches the Rfam family "5.8S ribosomal RNA", at positions 22 to 154 of the family's 154-position model. Lineage: Eukaryota; Fungi. The record is from RNAcentral.